Molecule: non-coding RNA, 24 nt
Filed under: Arabidopsis thaliana (thale cress)
Lineage: Eukaryota; Viridiplantae; Streptophyta; Magnoliopsida; Brassicales; Brassicaceae
Also listed under: 1 other name
Source: RNAcentral
AGGUGUCAGAAAAGUUACCACAGG